UCUCCGUAGGUGAACCUGCGGAGGGAUCAUUACAGAGUUCAUGCCCUACCGGGUAGAUCUCCCACCCUAUGUUAUUAUUACUUUGUUUCUUUGGCGGGCCGUUAGGCUCCGGCCCGACUACCGGCCCCGGCUGGUAAGCGCCCGCCAGAGGACCCAAAACCCUGAAUAUUAGUGUCGUCUGAGUACUAUAUAAUAGUUAAAACUUUCAACAACGGAUCUCUUGGUUCUG
This 229-nucleotide unclassified non-coding RNA is filed under the name plant metagenome. RNAcentral describes it as "partial contains small subunit ribosomal RNA, internal transcribed spacer 1, and 5.8S ribosomal RNA". The record is from RNAcentral.